UUUGUUCUGUUCUAUUUUGUUUUGUUUUGUUGAACUACCAUUGUUGCAAUCUCUAUGAUACUUUGGAUCUGCUCUGUGCUGGUUAUAUGGCCACUGUAAUAACCCAAAUUUGCCCGGCCCACAUACAUUUCAGAAAAAAAUAAAUAAAUAAACCAAAAAAAUACUAAAAGUCCAAUGUCCAGAUUACAAAACACCCACCAAACCAAAUUAACCCACUAGCCUAAAGCCAAUUAGCCUAAGCCCAAUACCUUAGCCCAACUAGCCUAAACCAGAAAUCAACAAACCCUAGCAGCAUUCAGCCUCCAC
Molecule: long non-coding RNA, 306 nt
Filed under: Gossypium raimondii (Peruvian cotton)
Lineage: Eukaryota; Viridiplantae; Streptophyta; Magnoliopsida; Malvales; Malvaceae
Description: long non-coding RNA (GRAI_LNC007573)
Source: RNAcentral